AGAGUUUGAUCCUGGCUCAGAACGAAUGCUGGCGGCAUGCUUAACACAUGCAAGUCGAACGCAAGGCUUCGGCCUUGAGUGGCGCACGGGUGAGUAGCGCGUGGGAACCUGCCCUGUCGUGGGGGAUAACCGAGGGAAACUUCGGCUAAUACCGCAUAAGCCGGGAGACCGGGAAGAUUUAUCGCGAUAGGAGGGGCCCGCGUCGGAUUAGCUUGUUGGUGGGGUAACGGCCUACCAAGGCUUUGAUCCGUAGCUGGUCUGAGAGGAUGAUCAGCCACACUGGGACUGAGACACGGCCCAGACUCCUACGGGAGGCAGCAGUGGGGAAUAUUGGACAAUGGGCGCAAGCCUGAUCCAGCAAUGCCGCGUGAGUGAGGAAGGCCUUCGGGUUGUAAAGCUCUUUCGCACGCGACGAUGAUGACGGUAGCGUGAGAAGAAGCCCCGGCUAACUUCGUGCCAGCAGCCGCGGUAAUACGAAGGGGGCGAGCGUUGUUCGGAUUUACUGGGCGUAAAGGGCGCGCAGGCGGCGAGUUUUGUCAGGCGUGAAAGCCCCGGGCUCAACCUGGGAACUGCGCUUGAAACGGGCUUGCUGGAGACCGGGAGAGGAGAGUGGAAUUCCCAGUGUAGAGGUGAAAUUCGUAGAUAUUGGGAAGAACACCGGUGGCGAAGGCGGCUCUCUGGACCGGAUCUGACGCUGAGGCGCGAAAGCGUGGGGAGCAAACAGGAUUAGAUACCCUAGUAGUCC
This 745-nucleotide ribosomal RNA is filed under the name uncultured bacterium. RNAcentral's name for it is "bacterial SSU rRNA". It matches the Rfam family "Bacterial small subunit ribosomal RNA", at positions 8 to 796 of the family's 1533-position model. The record is from RNAcentral.